Chenopodium quinoa (quinoa) is the source of this 2511-nucleotide long non-coding RNA. RefSeq lists it as uncharacterized. NCBI's taxonomy places the organism in Eukaryota, Viridiplantae, Streptophyta, Magnoliopsida, Caryophyllales, Amaranthaceae. The transcript has 2 exons. The record is from RefSeq and is a predicted model, not a curated record.
CCAUCAGUAAUACUCCCUCCGUUAUUUUUAUUUUAUUUGCAUCACUUGAAAAGACAAUAAAAAUUUAGGAAAGUAAUAUAAUAUUGUGGGUGGGUGAAUUAAUUAUUAUAAUAAAAAAGUAAGAUGGGGAACAUGAAAGAGAAAGUAUGUGAAAAAGAAUAUAUAUUUUUAUUAUUUAAGUGGGGACAAUGGAAGAGAGGGAAAUAUAAAAUAAUUUGAGUGAGUUUAAAGUAAGAAAGAGAAAUGAUAAAAUAUAAUAUAAGGUUAUCAAAUAUAUAAGUGAUGCAUGUAAAAAAAUAUCCAUAAAUAAAAAGUAAUGCAAAUGAAAAAAAAAAAACGGAGGGAGUAGUACACACAAUGACACAAUGUAACAACCAAAAAAUCCAACGAGACAUUCAAACGUUAUAAAUUUAUAAUUAAUCCAAGGCAACCCAAAUAGAUAUCAAAUCAAGUACAUUUGGAGCACAUUUAAUUCCUUUUUAAGUCGUCCAUAAUAUACAAAAUGAUAAAUCUUAUUUCGACUUUAUCUAUAUUUUAUUGUUUCAUCUUGUGUUUCACCUCUUUCUUUUUUUUUUUUUUUUUUUUUUUUUUUUUUUUUUUUUUUUUAGCUACAUAUGUCACAAACUAGGUUUCAAUCACUUUAUUGAUAAUAAUGCCGAAAUUGAAUUAAAUGUAUGUAAUGAAAUAGAGGAUCCUUUCUGAUACUCUUGUACAUUAUAAAUGACAAUAAGAAUGUUAGUUGUAAGAAGCAAGCUUGGUCAUUUAAAUUUUUAUCUAAGUCACAAAGUCACAUUAUCAAGGAAUAAAAAUGAAUCCUUCCGGUUCUAAUAAUAAUAUUAUUAUUAUUAGUGAAUGUAGUAAUAAUAAUCAAGAGUGGACUUGUAUUGAAAACAAGAUGUUUGAGAAUGCUUUAGUUGAGUUAGAAGUUACCUCUCCUGAUUUUUAUGAAAAAAUCAUGGCUAUUAUGCCAUGGAAAUCUCUUGAACAAAUCAAGAGCCACUAUGAAAAACUCGUUGCAGAUACCGCAAUGAUUGAGCAGGAUGAAAUUGGUGGCCUUGGUGGAGUUGAUAAUCAGUGGCGGACUGGGCCUUGUGCCUGGUGGGUCAAAUGACUCACCAGGGCCCAAAAAAAAUUUUCAAGUUUUUUUUUUUUAAAAAAAAAAAAUAAAAAAAAAAUCUAACUUCAGGUCCCGACACUUCCUCAAGCCCUAGCCCACUGCCUCCUCAGCUGUUCUUCCCUCUUCGCCUCUUGACUUCCUCUUCGCUUCAUCUUCACCAGACUGCCUCCACCCAGCCACCCUCCAGUCGCCUGCUCUGCCUCUGCUGCUUGCCUGCUUGAUGCUUUCCUGCUCCGUCUCCGUGGUCACUGCUCUUCGCAAUCGCUUCGACGCAAUUGCUAAUUCACUAUUAACGCUUCCUCUUCGCUCAUCGGCUCACGCCUCGUCGCCUCCAGUGCUGGCCCUGCUGCUGGCCCUGCUGCUCCGCCUACUCGCCUCAAUCAGCGUCUGCCGUCUGGCAAGGUAAUCAUCAAUUUAUUCUUUUUUUUUUGUGUGAAUUUCUGAUCAAAUUUGCAUUACUUGUUGCUUAAAAUUAGUAUAUACGAUGAAUGUUCAUUGAAUUUGCAUUAUUUGUGUUUUGACUGUUAAAUUGAACUUAUUAUUUUAUGUGAUGCCGGACAUUGUAUAAGACAGCUAUUAGUGUAAGGAGGAUUAUAAAUUUAUAAUUAGAUUACAGUGUGGACUGGUUAGUGGUGCUAGUCGCAUAUUCGGUUGGAAGUUCCGUAUAGACUAGGCGGAUUCAGGAAUUGUAAAGCAUUGUGUCUGAAUUGUGGUUACAUAAACCUUAAAUCAUUCUUAAGUUUUUUCUUGUGAUUGUUGCUGUAAAUUGUUUAAACUGUUAUUACACGGAGAACAGUAGUUAGGGUGUUUAUUAGCUUGUUAGUUAUUAGUUUGUUAAUUUUAGUCUUGUAAUUUCAGAAUGAAGAGAAAACGCAUUCCAAAUGAAAUGCAAAACAUUACUAGCUUUUUUGCUAAAAAGAAUCCUACUCCAACUUCUCUUCCACAUCCAACACAAAAUGAACAAACUAUAUCUCAACCUCAAGAAAGUGAACAACAUUCAUCUCCAUCUCAUUAUUCAACUUAAAAUUCCCCUCAAAAUGAACAAGACCAAUGUUCUCCUAAUGCCCCAAUCUUUGAUGAAAGAUUAAGUGAACAUGAAUUUGCUAAUCUUCCACAAGAUCCAGGAAAGAGGAGAAAGAUGAGUGAAUUUCAUAAAGAUGAUAGAGAUUUAGUGAGAAGAAUUUACAUUCAAAGAAAGUCUUGUCAGCCCAAAGACUUUGUAUUUCCUCAAACUUCUAUUUUUGGCAAAAACCGUCGCUUUUGUGCUAAGUGGUUUGGUACUUGGACUUGGCUUGAGUAUAGUGUGGAAAAGGAUGCUGCCUAUUGGUUGUAUUUUGUAUUGUUUGAAUAUUUGGAUGUAUUUUUUAGUACUAUUAUUUGGUUGUUUGGUAAAA